RNAcentral lists this ribosomal RNA (636 nucleotides) under Montipora capitata. RNAcentral's name for it is "eukaryotic LSU rRNA". The stretch from base 260 to 416 matches the Rfam family "5.8S ribosomal RNA". The record is from RNAcentral. Lineage: Eukaryota; Metazoa; Cnidaria; Anthozoa; Scleractinia; Acroporidae.
CGAUUUAAAAGUCGUAACAAGGUUUCCGUAGGUGAACCUGCGGAAGGAUCAUUAACGAUCGAUGGUGUAGGAGUCCGUCUCCCGUGUGAACUGUACUCGAAUGCUAUUCUUGCGAUACGUUUUGGGGGGGUCGACCUAGCGGUCGUCAAAUGCUGUGUGCGUAGCAGUCAGCCCCCCCACGUUCGCAUGUCUUUGUUUUCCAUCCAGUUUAUCAAAAUGGUGAGAAUGAUCGAAAGAUACGUAAAAAAUGAGAGAAAACAACUCAGAACGGUGGAUCUCUUGGCUCACGCAUCGAUGAAGAACGCAGCCAACUGCGAUAAGUAGUGUGAAUUGCAGAAGACAGUGAAUCAUCGAAUCUUUGAACGCAAAUGGCGCUCUCGGGCCCUGGUCCCGGGAGCAUGUCUGUCUGAGGGUCGAAUACACUAUGUGUCUUUCUUCUUUUGCGAGGAAAGAUGGUGUUGAGGUGUCACGGCCGACCCUCGUACCUAGGAACAGGCCGUGUCCCUUGAAGUGUAGAAUGCCGGUGGACGACCGCGACUCGUUCAUCGCCCACCGACAAAGAGAGAGGAACAAACACUCGAGUAUGACCUCAGAUCAGGCAAGACUACCCGCUGAAUUUAAGCAUAUCAAUAAGCG